RNAcentral lists this long non-coding RNA (4493 nucleotides) under Sus scrofa (pig). RNAcentral describes it as "lncRNA (ENSSSCG00055015469.1)". The record is from RNAcentral. Lineage: Eukaryota; Metazoa; Chordata; Mammalia; Artiodactyla; Suidae.
GGGGCCUGUAUUGAGACAUUGAGGGACUUGGCAUGAUAUGCUGAUAAGGCUGAGUUCUCCUCCUGGUCCUGGCCACAUGCCUGGGGACACAUCCUCCCUGCCUUCUUAAUUAUUUAAAAAAAAAAAAACGUCUUUUUCUUUUUGCGUCCAUACCUAUGCCAUAUGGGAGUACCCCGGCUAGGGGCUGAAUCAUAGCUGCAGCAGCAGGCCUACGCCACAGCAACUCAGGAUCCUUAACCCACUGAGUAAGGCCAGGUAUUGAACCUGCAUCCUCACAGAGACUACACCGGGUCCUUAACCUGCUGAGCCUCAAUGGGAACUCCGUGCCUGCCUUCUUCAUGAGUGAAUUUUGCUCUCUGGCCCAUUUGGGUUCCCUUUGGUCCUUCUCACAGCUCUUAAGGGCUCUCCGAGGAACUACCAGGGCUUAUGAAAAGAUGUUUGAAAAAUCCAUCUGGGGCACGAAGUGACAUGCUCAUCCGCAGGCUGGGUCUGUGCAUCUGUCGUGGGUCCCCCUCCCUCCAGGACCUCCUCCCAGCGGCUGGAAGGCCCCUCCUCAGACGGGGAAAUUCACUGGCACUGGGACUCGGCUGGGGCCGGUCAGCCUCUCCAGCCCCCAUAAUCUAAUAAUACCAAGGGGUGGGGUGGGGGGGCAGCUUUCAACAUCUCUGCUCAGGGCAAGGCCUGGAAACCGAGCAGCCAGGCUGCCACCCCCAAUGCCACCGGGGGCUCUGGCUCUGGUCCCCACACAGUUGCUUCAUCUGUAAAAUGGGUGGCUUGACGUGAUUACUCAGAUUCCACUGAGACUGGCAGGAGAGAGCUCCACCUGAGUCCCCCAACACCAAGACUCCCUUGUUUAGACCUGUGUAUGACCCCCGAGUUCCUGGUCGAGAGGACAGCCUGGGUUGAAUCAGAGUUAUAGCUGCUGGCCACAGCCACAGCAACACUGGGACUGAGCCACGUCUGCGACCUACACCACAGCUCACAGCAACACAAGAUCCUUAACCCACUGCGCAAGGCCAGGGAUCGAACCCGAAACUCAUGGUUCCUAGUCGGAUUCUUUCCCACUGUGCCAUGAUGGGAAUUCCUGUUUGUUUUUAAUGUGGCUCUCCAGUUGUUUCAGCUCUGUUUCUUGAAAAGAUUAUCCUUCUGCACUGACUCACCUUUACCUCUUUGUGAAAUCAAUUUGCCAUAUAUGUGCGGGACUGUUUCUUACCUGUUCUAUUAUAUUGCUCGACACAUCUGUCCUUUUACUAAUACCACGCUGUCUUGAUGAGAGUAGCCUUUUUUAGUUUUAUUGGAGUAGAGUUGACUUACAGUGUUGUAUUAAUUGAUGAGAGUGGCUUUACAGAAAGUCUUGAGUGGAAAUCCCUUACCUUUAUUCUAAAAUUGUUUUGCUUGUUCCACUUCCUUUACUGUUACAUAUAAAUUUUAGAAUCACGUUGUCAUUUUCAAUAAAAAGUCUUCCUGGAAUCUUGGUUGGGAUUACGCUGAAUCUAUGCAUUCAUUGGAAGGAGAGGGAAUUGACCUGUUAACAAUAUUGACUCUUCAGUUGGUGAACCCAGUAUAGCUCAGCACUCGUUUGAUUCGUUCUGAUUACUUUCUCAAUGUUUCAUAGUUUUCAGCAUACAGAUUUUCUACACAUUUUGUUAUUUAUACCUAUUUCAUGUACUUUUAUGAAAUGCUAAAUGGAACUUUAAAAAAUUUCAGCUUUUAGUUGUUCCAGCUAAUACAUAGAAAUACAAUUGAUUUUUAUAUAUUGAACUUUUAUCCUGUCACCUUGAUGAAUAUACCUAUUGUUAGUUCUUGUAGUUUUUUGUAUUUUUGUACAUUCUUUGGGAUUUCCUGUAUAGCCAGUCAUAUUAUCUGUGAAUAAAAUAGUUUUUUUUCCUUUCCAAUCUGGAUGCCCAUUCUUUUGUUCAUUCUUCCUUUUUCUUCCCUACUUCCCUCUCUCACUCCUUCUUUUUUUUUUUUUUUUUUUUUUUUUGGUUGGCUUAUUGCCUGCCUAUUACUAUUACCUCCAGUAUGAUAUUGAAAACCAUUGCUGAGGCUAUUCUUGCCUUUUUUUCCUAGUCUUAGAGGGGAAGCAUUAAUUCUUUUCAUUAUUUUUAAUGUAGAAAAUCUCCGUGAUUCUCUAAUUUUACCUAUUUAUGCCUUUAUGUUUAAAGUAUUAUUUCUUAAAAGGCAGCAAUAGUUGUGUCUUUCUUUUUUUUUUAAUCCAGUCUGAUAAUCUCUGCCUUUUAAUUAACGUGCCUAAUUGAGAUAUUUACAUUUAAUGGCAUUAUUGCUAUAAUUGCUUUAAAUCGAUUAUCUUGCUAUUUUAAAAAUGUUGGUUCUUUAUUCCUCUUUUCUACUUCUUUGAGAUUGCAAUUUUUCUAAUGAUUCUAUUUUGUCUCCUUUAUUGGCUUAUUAGCUGUAACUCUUUGUAUUAUUAUUUUAGUCGUUACUUUGGAGUUUUUAGCGUGCAUCUAUAACUGGUCAUAUCUACUUACAAAUAAUAUAAGAACCUUACGGCAGUAUCCUUCCCUUCUCUCCUCCUGGCCUGUGUUCUAUUUCUGUCACACCUUUUACGUCUGCAUAUGAUAGAGCUCCUCACUGUUACUAACCCAGCCAUUGUCAUCAUUUUUAUUAACUCAUAUGUUGUUAUUAUUUUUGCUGUAAACAAUUAUCUUUUAAAAGAGAUGCAAAUAGUUAAGGGAAAUAUUUUUUGUAUUGAAUGACAUAGUUCCCAUUUCUGAUGCUUUUCAUUCUUUCGUGUUUAUCUAAAUUUCAUCUGGCAUCAUUUUCCUUCUGCCUGAAGGACUUAACUUUAAAAUUUCUUAAAGAGUGCGGGUCUUUCAUUGAUUGAGACCUUCCAGCUUUUGGGUGACUGAAAAAGAAUUACGUGUUCAUUUUUGACAGCUAUUUUCACUGGGCAUAGACGUCCCAGGUUGACAGGCUUUUCAAAAUUUCCUUUCAGCACUUGAAAGAUGGUUGCACCAUCGUCUCGCAGCCAGAAGUCUGCUCCCUAUCUUAUCUUUGUUGCUCUGUGUAUCAUCCAGGUCUUUGCUCUGGUCUCCUUUUAAGGUGAUCUCUUUAUUGCUGGUUUUAAGCCACUUGAUUAUGAUACAUUUUGCUGUGGCUGGCUUUACAGUUCUCUUGCUUGAGGUUUGUUUAGCCUCUUGGAUGUGUAGUUGUUUUUUUUUUUUUUUUUAAUAAAAUUUGGGGGAAAUUGCCAUUAUUGCUUCAAAUAUUUUUCCUCUCUCCUUGCCUCUUCUCUUCUUUAGGGACUUCACUAAAGAUUUAUUUGGUUGCUUGAAAUGGCUCCACAGUCGAAUGAUGCUUCUUUUUUUCUCUUGUUCUUUUUUUCAGUGUUGUUGUUGGUUUUUUUUUUUUUUUUUUUUUUCUCUCUCUGUGUUUUGUUUUGGAUAGUUUCUGCGGCUGAUAUAUCACUAAUAUUUCUUCUGCCCUGUCUCAUCUGCUGUUCAUCCCAUGCAGGAGAUUUUUCUGCUCAAAUUGUAUUUUUCAUCUUCACACCGCUAAUCUGUGUUUUCCUUAUACCUUCCAUACCUCUACUUAAUAUGCUAAGGUUUACCUCUACCUCUUGAACAUCUGAAAUCUGGUUACAAUAAUUAUUUUAACGUCUUUAUCUACAAAUUAUGUCAUCUUUGUCAUAGCUAGGUCAUUUUGAUUGAUUUUCCUCCUCAUUAUGAGUCAUAUUUCCCCGCUUGUUUGUGUGCCUGAUACUCUUCAUUGGAUGCCAGAUAUUGUAAAUUAUGGGUUGCUAACUGUAUUUUAUUUAAUAUUCCUAAGUCUUGUUUGGGGAAAAAAAUUAAGUUACUUGGGAAACAGUUUGAUCUUUUCAAGGCUGCCUUUUAAACCGCUUUACACAAAACCAAAAUGCCCUUCAGUCUAGAACUAACUUUUCCCCACGACUUUGGCAAUAUUCUUCCAACUCUCCAGUGCCCUCUGUUUACGGGUCUUUUGUUUGUUUGUUUGUUUGUUUGUUUGCUUUUAACUCAGGCUGGUGGUAACACCAACUUUUCCCAACCCUGUGUGAUUUCUCUAAAUUGGUCUGCCUGCUCCUUUGGAGUGGCUCCUCUCCAGCCUCACAUGUGCUGCAAAGGACUCAGGUGAAGCCUGGGAGCAGGGGAACCUUCCUGCCGAUCCCAUUCUCUCUCUUGUACCUUGAAAUGGUUGUUGUUGUUAGUUGGUUGGUUGGCUGGGUUUCGUUUCCUUCUUUGGAAAUUAAAAAAAAACAAAAUGAUUAAAGUUGAUUUAUAAUGUUCUGUCAGUUUCUGCUCUACUAUAUAUAUAUAUAUAUAUAUAUUCUUUUUCUCACAUUAUCCUCCAUCAUGUUCCAUCACAAGCAAUGAGAUGUGCUACACAGCACAUCUGAAAUCUGCUGUGCUACACAGCAGGAUCUCAUUGCUUGUCCACUCCAAAUGCUAUAGUUUGCAUUACAUCAGACCAAUACCUCUGCAAUGCCAUUCUGUGAAUAGAAAGAAAAAAAAAAA